This 646-nucleotide ribosomal RNA is filed under the name Bacillus sp. (in: firmicutes). Its description in RNAcentral is "bacterial SSU rRNA". It matches the Rfam family "Bacterial small subunit ribosomal RNA", at positions 86 to 717 of the family's 1533-position model. Lineage: Bacteria; Bacillati; Bacillota; Bacilli; Caryophanales; Bacillaceae. The record is from RNAcentral.
AUGAAGUUAGCGGCGGACGGGUGAGUAACACGUGGGUAACCUGCCCAUAAGACUGGGAUAACUCCGGGAAACCGGGGCUAAUACCGGAUAAUAUUUUGAACUGCAUGGUUCGAAAUUGAAAGGCGGCUUCGGCUGUCACUUAUGGAUGGACCCGCGUCGCAUUAGCUAGUUGGUGAGGUAACGGCUCACCAAGGCAACGAUGCGUAGCCGACCUGAGAGGGUGAUCGGCCACACUGGGACUGAGACACGGCCCAGACUCCUACGGGAGGCAGCAGUAGGGAAUCUUCCGCAAUGGACGAAAGUCUGACGGAGCAACGCCGCGUGAGUGAUGAAGGCUUUCGGGUCGUAAAACUCUGUUGUUAGGGAAGAACAAGUGCUAGUUGAAUAAGCUGGCACCUUGACGGUACCUAACCAGAAAGCCACGGCUAACUACGUGCCAGCAGCCGCGGUAAUACGUAGGUGGCAAGCGUUAUCCGGAAUUAUUGGGCGUAAAGCGCGCGCAGGUGGUUUCUUAAGUCUGAUGUGAAAGCCCACGGCUCAACCGUGGAGGGUCAUUGGAAACUGGGAGACUUGAGUGCAGAAGAGGAAAGUGGAAUUCCAUGUGUAGCGGUGAAAUGCGUAGAGAUAUGGAGGAACACCAGUGGCG